AUGGACUACUCAAAUUUGCGUCGCCAAAUUACCUUCAUGAAGAAAAGUUUCUUUGAUCAGGGUUACCUUGAUGAACAGUUCAAUCAGCUGGAAGAACUGCAGGACGAAUCAAGCCCCAAUUUCGUUGAGGAAGUUGUGGCUUUGUUUCUGAAAGAUUCGCCGAGAUUGUUGUCAAACAUAGAACAAACAAUUGGGAAGUACCCUCAGGAUUUCUACCGGUUAGAUUCUCUUGUGCACCAGCUCAAAGGCAGCGGAUCCAGCAUUGGAGCAGUGAGGAUGAAGAACGAGUGCUCGGUGUUUAAGGCACACUGCAAUGACAGGAAUCUGGAAGGUGUGUCCAUGGUUGUGCAUCAGAUGCCGCAGGUCACUGCAGAAGAUGAAGAGGGAGCAUGCCACUCUGAAGCAGAAGCUGGAGUCAUAUUUUCAGUUACUGCGGCAAGUCGGGCCUCGCGAGCAUGCCGUGAACUCAAGGAAGUAAGAAGAUAG
RNAcentral lists this ribosomal RNA (486 nucleotides) under Triticum aestivum (bread wheat). RNAcentral's name for it is "partial small subunit ribosomal RNA". Lineage: Eukaryota; Viridiplantae; Streptophyta; Magnoliopsida; Poales; Poaceae. The record is from RNAcentral.